AGCCGGCCUGAGAGGGUGACCGGCCACAUUGGGACUGAGAUACGGCCCAGACUCCUACGGGAGGCAGCAGUGGGGAAUAUUGCACAAUGGGCGGAAGCCUGAUGCAGCAACGCCGCGUGCGGGAUGACGGCCUUCGGGUUGUAAACCGCUUUCGCCUGUGACGAAGCGUGAGUGACGGUAAUGGGUAAAGAAGCACCGGCUAACUACGUGCCAGCAGCCGCGGUGAUACGUAGGGUGCGAGCGUUGUCCGGAUUUAUUGGGCGUAAAGGGCU
RNAcentral lists this ribosomal RNA (272 nucleotides) under Cutibacterium acnes. RNAcentral's name for it is "partial 16S ribosomal RNA". It matches the Rfam family "Bacterial small subunit ribosomal RNA", at positions 285 to 569 of the family's 1533-position model. Lineage: Bacteria; Bacillati; Actinomycetota; Actinomycetes; Propionibacteriales; Propionibacteriaceae. The record is from RNAcentral.